Molecule: ribosomal RNA, 492 nt
Filed under: uncultured bacterium
Lineage: Bacteria
Description: partial 16S ribosomal RNA
Rfam family: Bacterial small subunit ribosomal RNA
Source: RNAcentral
AGUGAACGCUGGCGGUAGGCCUAACACAUGCAAGUCGAACGGCAGCACAGUAAGAGCUUGCUCUUACGGGUGGCGAGUGGCGGACGGGUGAGAAAUACAUCGGAAUCUACUUUUUCGUGGGGGAUAACGUAGGGAAACUUACGCUAAUACCGCAUACGACCUACGGGUGAAAGCAGGGGAUCUUCGGACCUUGCGCGAUUGAAUGAGCCAAUGUCGGAUUAGCUAGUUGGCGGGGUAAAGGCCCACCAAGGCGACGAUCCGUAGCUGGUCUGAGAGGAUGAUCAGCCACACUGGAACUGAGACACGGUCCAGACUCCUACGGGAGGCAGCAGUGGGGAAUAUUGGACAAUGGGCGCAAGCCUGAUCCAGCCAUACCGCGUGGGUGAAGAAGGCCUUCGGGUUGUAAAGCCCUUUUGUUGGGAAAGAAAAGCAGCAGGUUAAUACCCCGCUGUUCUGACGGUACCCAAAGAAUAAGCACCGGCUAACUUCGUG